Molecule: ribosomal RNA, 378 nt
Filed under: uncultured bacterium
Lineage: Bacteria
Description: bacterial SSU rRNA
Rfam family: Bacterial small subunit ribosomal RNA
Source: RNAcentral
UAAUACGUAGGGUGCAAGCGUUGUCCGGAAUUAUUGGGCGUAAAGAGCUCGUAGGCGGCUUGUCGCGUCGGCUGUGAAAACCUGGGGCUCAACCCCGGGCCUGCAGCCGAUACGGGCAAGCUAGAAUUCGGUAGGGGAGACUGGAAUUCCUGGUGUAGCGGUGAAAUGCGCAGAUAUCAGGAGGAACACCGGUGGCGAAGGCGGGUCUCUGGGCCGAAAUUGACGCUGAGGAGCGAAAGCGUGGGGAGCAAACAGGAUUAGAUACCCUGGUAGUCCACGCCGUAAACGUUGGGCGCUAGGUGUGGGCCACAUUCCACGUGGUCUGUGCCGCAGCUAACGCAUUAAGCGCCCCGCCUGGGGAGUACGGCCGCAAGGCUA